UACGUAGGUGGCAAGCGUUAUCCGGAUUUAUUGGGCGUAAAGGGAACGCAGGCGGUCUUUUAAGUCUGAUGUGAAAGCCUUCGGCUUAACCGGAGUAGUGCACUGGAAACUGGGAGACUUGAGUGCAGAAGAGGAGAGUGGAACUCCAUGUGUAGCGGUGAAAUGCGUAGAUAUAUGGAAGAACACCAGUGGCGAAAGCGGCUCUCUGGUCUGUAACUGACGCUGAGGUUCGGAAGCGUGGGUAGCAAACAGG
This 253-nucleotide ribosomal RNA is filed under the name uncultured bacterium. RNAcentral's name for it is "partial 16S ribosomal RNA". It matches the Rfam family "Bacterial small subunit ribosomal RNA", at positions 524 to 776 of the family's 1533-position model. The record is from RNAcentral.